Oncorhynchus tshawytscha (Chinook salmon) is the source of this 348-nucleotide long non-coding RNA. NCBI's taxonomy places the organism in Eukaryota, Metazoa, Chordata, Actinopteri, Salmoniformes, Salmonidae. The record is from Ensembl.
CCAGAUGCUUUCGAGACAGAUAAAGGUUUUUCAUUUAUAGUUUAAUCUAAAUUAGAAUAAAGAAUCCCAUCUAAUUGGAGACUAUUUAUGAUGUGGUUAAGAACUUUCUAGAUGUUGUGGAGACAGAUAGACUUUAUUCCUUGACAGUUUGAGUCAUAAUAUCAUAUCUAAUUAAAGCUAAUGUGGAGCGCCAGCAGGUAGCCUAGUGGUUAGAGUGUAGGGUUAGCAGGUAGCCUAGUGGUUAGAGUGUAGGGUUAGCAGGUAGCCUAGUGGUUAGAGUGUAGGGUCAGCAGGUAGCCUAGUGGUUAGAGUGUAGGGUCAGCAGGUAGCCUAGUGGUUAGAGUGUAG